AGGCAUUUAACAGAUAUUUUUACAUCACUUUGGCUAUGCAAGGCUCUGACUUGCACAACACUGACACAGUGCAACUCAGGACCUCAAAAAGCCCCACUCCAUUUUGUUCUCCACCCCUUAAGUUUUUUUUUCCUAACGAGGCGCCGUUGGCUGCCUGCUGACCUACUCUAUCCCAUUAGUAUAUCGAAGGAAACCCGCUCGGUAAAGGAGAGGGAGCAGUUCAACAGGGCCAGGAAGAUUGUGGAGAGGAUCACUGCAGACCAACUGCGAUCUUUGGUGAAAAACUACUACCAGCGCUGCACCAUCCUCCCUGGAAAGUCUUUCCCCCACCCGUGCAGUCAGGCACGAGUCAGGAGUAUCCAAGAGACCCAGGAGUAUCCAAUCCACCAGGUCAAUUAACUGAGUUUCCCACCAAGCUUUCAUACUCUGGAACACCCACCACAGAUUCUUCAUUUUUAACUUCACUUUUCUACGUUUUCAUGUUUUUUUUUUGUUUGUUUUUUUGUUUUUUUUGGUGUGUGUGUUUUUGGUUUUUCUUUUCUCCUUUUUCUUUUUUAAAUGUAUAUAAUACAUUACAACCCAGCUACAGUCAUUGAUUGAAGCUUUUCUUAUCAGUGCUGAACAUGACCGUAACACUCUUGUCCUCAAUCACAGCUCUUCAUCCUCUGUGGGCCACACAGGCCAGGAAAAUCUCUCAACGAGUGAGUUUGAUGUAGCCCCAGAUGCAAAUCUGGCCACGAAUCUCACAGCAUUGGCAGAUAUCAGCCAGGAUCUCAUUGCCAUCCCUGCUGAAGAACUGUUUACAUCCCAGCAAACACAAGAGGUUAAUAUCAAUGUAGUAACCAACUAACUGUGCAUUGUCCCUGCGCAGUCUGCGUUGUCUCCAGGCCUGUGAAUCCGCUCCUUGUUACUGACUUUAACAACAAUAAUUGUAAACGUUUUGACAUGAGAGGACCAUAAUUAUUCUUUUCACUUCUGAAUGAACUUCAUAUAACUCACCCAGACCAAUUUGUACAAUUAAUCUUUGGUGUUUCCUGUCAGCAGUGUGAUUUGUCAGAGGAGAUAGAUGCCCUGCUGGCUUCUCUUUUAGAUGGUGAAACACAUAUUCCAGCAAACACCGGAUGUGAACACUUUCAGGCCCCGUCUUGAAACCAUCAAUUUUGAACAGUGGGAUGGCCUUUGAAAUCAAGACUGAUCUCAUCCACCUGCUCCUCCUCCUCAUCAUCACCAUUCACCCACUUCUACACAAUCUGCAUCUUGCACAAUUAAUUUUCAGUAUUACUUUUUGCACUUUACAUCCCACUCGUAUGCACAUUGUCUUAUAUCUUAUUUUUAUUAUUUGUAUAUUAUGUUGAUAUGUGCCGAUGCGUGUGUAUUGUAUUUUCUAUUGGCUUUUUUGUACAGAAAGUUUACCUUUAUUUUUUAUUUACUUAUUUCUGUUUCUAU
Molecule: long non-coding RNA, 1446 nt
Organism: Lates calcarifer (barramundi perch)
Lineage: Eukaryota; Metazoa; Chordata; Actinopteri; Centropomidae
Exons: 3
Source: RefSeq, a predicted model, not a curated record